UACGUAGGUCCCGAGCGUUGUCCGGAUUUAUUGGGCGUAAAGGGAACGCAGGCGGUCUUUUAAGUCUGAUGUGAAAGCCUUCGGCUUAACCGGAGUAGUGCAUUGGAAACUGGGAGACUUGAGUGCAGAAGAGGAGAGUGGAACUCCAUGUGUAGCGGUGAAAUGCGUAGAUAUAUGGAAGAACACCGGUGGCGAAAGCGGCUCUCUGGCCUGUAACUGACACUGAGGCUCGAAAGCGUGGGGAGCAAACAGG
RNAcentral lists this ribosomal RNA (253 nucleotides) under uncultured bacterium. RNAcentral describes it as "partial 16S ribosomal RNA". It matches the Rfam family "Bacterial small subunit ribosomal RNA", at positions 524 to 776 of the family's 1533-position model. The record is from RNAcentral.